UACGUAGGGUGCGAGCGUUGUCCGGAAUUACUGGGCGUAAAGGGCUCGUAGGCGGCCAACUAAGUCAUACGUGAAAUCCCUCAGCUUAACUGGGGAACUGCGUGUGAUACUGGAUGGCUUGGAUUUGGGAGAGGGAUGCGGAAUUCCAGGUGUAGCGGUGAAAUGCGUAGAUAUCUGGAGGAACACCGGUGGCGAAGGCGGCAUCCUGGACCAAUAUUGACGCUGAGGAGCGAAAGCUAGGGGAGCAAACGGG
RNAcentral lists this ribosomal RNA (253 nucleotides) under uncultured bacterium. RNAcentral's name for it is "partial 16S ribosomal RNA". It matches the Rfam family "Bacterial small subunit ribosomal RNA", at positions 524 to 776 of the family's 1533-position model. The record is from RNAcentral.